This is a long non-coding RNA of Columba livia (rock pigeon), 1406 nucleotides long. RefSeq lists it as uncharacterized. The record is from RefSeq and is a predicted model, not a curated record. Lineage: Eukaryota; Metazoa; Chordata; Aves; Columbiformes; Columbidae. The transcript has 3 exons.
UUUUCCUUCAUAGAGUGCAUAAGGAAAUUUUAACUGUGCUCCUCUUGUCCUUUGAAACACAGAAAAAACGUGCCCCUCAGUUUAGUUCCCUCUGAGCCAACAAUGGCCCUGCAUCACAGCUACACAAGAGAGCAUGGCAAAGGGAUCCUGCCUCCCAAAGAGCACGAGGCACAACAUUUUCACAGAGAUCGAAGGCCCAUUGACCCUUGAAAACAGCCUGGAAAAGAACAUUGCCAGAGGCCACAACAGGCUUAGAGACACCUUGCAGAGAAGGAGAAACCUCUAGAGAGGGGAUACUGGUGGGGACGAUCCUGCAGAGUAUUAUGUUCUCAAGGUGCUCGCACAAGGGAUGAGCAGGUUUUCAACAAAGCCUUGCAGGCCAUUCAGCAUCCAGUUCAACAGCUGUAGUGCAGACUGGGGGUGUUUGUAACGGGGUUCUUUCAAGGAGCCUCUGCCUACUGGGAUCCCCACCGGCUUUGCACCAGCUUUACCUUGGUGAUGUUUUCUGAGCAACACUACCACCACUUCACAGAAAACACAAGAGUUGCAGGCAGAGCCACUUGAUGGAGGACUUCAGAAGCAUUCAGCAAAUGUUAUCUCAUAGUCUGAAGAACUAAGAAGGUAUCAAACAGCAGCAAAAAAGUCACAAUUGAAAAUGCUCUUGAGAUCAUCACCAGCACAAUCGGAGCAGAACAACAACAUAAAGGAAAACAAAUACAGUUUGGUAACUGAAAUAAAAGCUGGAUAGUUUUGUUUUAUACCAACUUAGAUUUUGUAAUUCAUGUCAGAAAAAGGAUGUGGCUUUUAGUCACGACGAGCAAUUGAAAGCAAGCUCAUUCCUGCUAAACCUGACUUGUUUACACACUCCUUGCAGGCAUAGACUGAACAGCAGCAUACACAGUUGGGCCUAUUAACUCCAUAACUCACUGAAUUUUCAAAAAGAUACACUUUUUUAUUUCAGCACUUCCUGGGCUUUUCCGUAGUGUUUGAAUUCCAUACUUAGAUACAGACUUUUGUAAGAUCAGUAGAUCCAUCUGCACUUCUUGAGAACCAUCACCCUGCACUCUCCACUUUUGAUCCAACUGUGUCCUUCUUUAAAAGAAAGAAUCAAACAAAAACUCUAAUAAUUUUCAAUUUUCAUGCCUUUGUUUAUGUAUCUUCAGAGCAUAAAUGUAAAAUCUGAACCAAUUUAAACACCCUAGUACUGUUUCUUCAGUGUUAGGAUCCCUGUGUUCCUGCCGUAUUACUGAUAGACAGGUGGGGGGUACUGGAGGAAAUCCGACUGCCGAUCAUGGUUUUCUCUCUAGCUUAAUAUAAGUAGCAAGAUAGCACCUCAUUAACACACACUUUAAUUACCAUACUCUUUAGCUUAUCAACCCACUUACAGAAAAAGAAGCCUCCAAAAA